GACGAACGCUGGCGGCGCGCCUAACACAUGCAAGUCGAACGGAGUUCAUUGGACAGAUCCUUCGGGUGAUGGAAGGUGAACUUAGUGGCGGACGGGUGAGUAACACGUGAGCAACCUACCUUACAGAGGGGGGAUAACGUUCUGAAAGAACGCUAAUACCGCAUAACAUAUUGGGAGGGCAUCCUUUUGAUAUCAAAGGAGGAAUCCGCUGUAAGAUGAGCUCGCGUCCGAUUAGGCAGUUGGCGGGGUAACGGCCCACCAAACCGACGAUCGGUAGCCGGACUGAGAGGUUGAACGGCCACAUUGGGACUGAGACACGGCCC
RNAcentral lists this ribosomal RNA (323 nucleotides) under uncultured bacterium. Its description in RNAcentral is "bacterial SSU rRNA". It matches the Rfam family "Bacterial small subunit ribosomal RNA", at positions 28 to 332 of the family's 1533-position model. The record is from RNAcentral.